Molecule: long non-coding RNA, 1543 nt
Organism: Siniperca chuatsi (mandarin fish)
Lineage: Eukaryota; Metazoa; Chordata; Actinopteri; Centrarchiformes; Sinipercidae
Exons: 3
Source: RefSeq, a predicted model, not a curated record
UGAAAUAAAAAAUAAAUGAUUAAAGUUUUGAAGCUGAAUAAAUGUAAAGAUAUCCGUUGAUGAAUGUCUACAUGCAGCAUCUCUUGCAACUCCUGUGCAGAUUGUGUGAAGAUCAAGGAAUGAGGGCGUCAGAUCUUCCUUUGUAAUACUAUCGCCCUAAAGACAGUUUGAAAUCGGCUUGUGAAUCUCCUCACACACACACACACACACACAGAGUAAAGAAAACCACACAGCUGCCUAAGGCAAUUCUCAAUCAUCUAUACAUCCUGUGUCCCUAAAAGGAUCAAUGUUGAAGGCCCUUUGUACGAAGACAGAUCAAGAAAUGUCUCUUUUAUGGUCUUAAGGUAUAUUUAAAAAAGAUUAUACUUUAAAGUUUCACAAUAUCAUAAUAGGAAAUUACAAUAAGUGGCUCUUUCUGACCAUACAGCUGUCUCAGGCAUUUCUCAAACAUCUAUACAUCCUGUGUCCCUAAAAGGAUCAAUGGUUCCUGCUCUUUCAGAAGGCCCUUUGUAUGAAGACAGAUCAAGAAAUGUCUCUUUUAUGGUCUUUUAAGACAUAUUUAAAAAAGAUUAUACUUUAAAGUUUCACAAUAUCAUAAUAGGAAAUUACAAUAAGUACCUUUAACACCGAGCCUGAUGUCAAAUGUCAAAGUACAUUUGUAUGUUUCUGUGUGAAGCCCCGUGUUGGAGCUCUGGAUAAUAAACAUCUCAAAUGACAAGAAAGUAAAUUAAAUGUUAAAUCUCAGAGGCUAAUCUCUGCAUCAAACACACACACACACACACACACACACACACACACGGGAAUCAGAGAAGAUCAAGAGGUUAUGUGUUGACAGGCCGGAGUCGGCACCCUGUAGCUGUCACCCCGCAUCUGCAGUUAAUUAGGGGUAAUUUAGCUAGAAAUGGGAAUGUAUGCAUAUGAGUGUUGGCAGACCGGAACCGGCAUCCUGCCGAUAUAGACUGUUUGGUCAUUGCAUUGUUUUCACACACACAGGAACUUAUAAAGAUAUGGGGUACCUAGUGACUGUGGAUAUUAAAAACUUGGAGAAUGGAAUGCAGCGUCCUGUGAAGAUCAAGAAGAUUGGAGGAAGUGUGAAAUUUAUGCAUUUACAUAGUAUUGUGUACCUGGAGGAGCACAAGGUAUAUAACCAGCUAUUUCCGAUCUAGCAGGGAUAGUGUGUGUGUGGAGAGGUCUCUGUGUUGUGUCUCCGUAUCUGAGAGAAUAGGACUUCUGAACCUGACAGCGGAGAAUGGCUCAAGCAUCCGGUAAAUUACCUAUAUCUUUAAAGCUAAAUUUUAUGCGUUUAAACCUUUAGGCAGAAACAUAGGGAAUUUUUCAUUCUUUGCAGUGACUCUAAACGGAGGGGUGAACCUUCAAGCAGAGGAGUCUGAUUCAUCAACUGAUACCUCAACAUCCGAGACCUCGUCUGAUACUGACUCCUCAUCUGUGCUUUCAGAGGCAGUACCCGAUCUGUGGGGCGAUUUGGACCAAUAUUUCCAAGAAGGGUUAUCGCCAUCAUCACAGCCACAGGAUGACGCAGCGG